Molecule: ribosomal RNA, 440 nt
Filed under: uncultured bacterium
Lineage: Bacteria
Description: bacterial SSU rRNA
Rfam family: Bacterial small subunit ribosomal RNA
Source: RNAcentral
CCUACGGGGGGCAGCAGUGGGGAAUAUUGCACAAUGGGGGAAACCCUGAUGCAGCAACGCCACGUGAGCGAUGAAGGCCUUCGGGUCGUAAAGCUCUGUCCUAAGGGAAGAAUACUGACGGUACCUUAGGAGGAAGCCCCGGCUAACUACGUGCCAGCAGCCGCGGUAAUACGUAGGGGGCUAGCGUUAUCCGGAAUUACUGGGCGUAAAGGGUGCGUAGGCGGCCCUUCAAGUCAGAGGUGACAGGCUACGGUUCAACCGUAGUAAGCCUUUGAAACUGUGGGGCUUGAGGGCAGGAUAGGAGAGUGGCAUUCCCAGUGUAGCGGUGAAAUGCGUAGAUAUUUGGAGGAACACCAGGUGCGAAGGCGGCUCUCUGGACGGUAGCUGACGCUGAGGCACGAAAGCGUGGGGAGCGAACUGGAUUAGAUACCGGAGUAGUC